GAUGAACGCUAGCUACAGGCUUAACACAUGCAAGUCGAGGGGAAACGAUUAGAGGUGCUUGCACCACUAAGGCGUCGACCGGCGCACGGGUGAGUAACGCGUAUCCAACCUGCCCCAUGGUAAGGAAUAAUCCGUAGAAAUGCGGUCUAAUACCUUAUGUGCUCCGAAGAGGACAUCUGAUUUGGAGUAAAGAUUUAUCGCCAUGGGAUGGGGAUGCGUCUGAUUAGAUUGUUGGCGGGGCAACGGCCCACCAAGUCACCGAUCAGUAGGGGUUCUGAGAGGAAAGUCCCCCACAUUGGAACUGAGACACGGUCCAAACUCCUACGGGAGGCAGCAGUGAGGAAUAUUGGUCAAUGGAUGAGAAUCUGAACCAGCCAAGUAGCGUGCAGGAAGACGGCCCUAUGGGUUGUAAACUGCUUUUGUACGGGGAUAAAGGAGCUUACGUGUAAGUUUUUGCAGGUACCGUACGAAUAAGGACCGGCCAAUUCCGUGCCAGCAGCCGCGGUAAUACGGAAGGUCCGGGCGUUAUCCGGAUUUAUUGGGUUUAAAGGGAGCGCAGGCUGUCGGUUAAGCGUGUUGUGAAAUGUAGGCGCCCAACGCCUGCACUGCAGCGCGAACUGGCUGACUUGAGUACGCACGACGUUGGCGGAAUUUGCCGUGUAGCGGUGAAAUGCUUAGAUAUGGCGAAGAACUCCGAUUGCGAAGGCAGCUGACGGGAGCGCAACUGACGCUCAUGCUCGAAAGUGCGGGUAUCGAACAGG
RNAcentral lists this ribosomal RNA (761 nucleotides) under uncultured bacterium. RNAcentral describes it as "bacterial SSU rRNA". It matches the Rfam family "Bacterial small subunit ribosomal RNA", at positions 28 to 776 of the family's 1533-position model. The record is from RNAcentral.